This 588-nucleotide long non-coding RNA is filed under the name Brassica rapa (field mustard). RNAcentral describes it as "long non-coding RNA (BRAP_LNC000943)". Lineage: Eukaryota; Viridiplantae; Streptophyta; Magnoliopsida; Brassicales; Brassicaceae. The record is from RNAcentral.
UCAAUUUGACAUUUAAGGUAUCUGCAGUUGCAUUUUGGUUUAGUUUAAGUUGCUUGGGAGUUAAGUUUCUUCACUGUUAGUUCUCUACUGAUCCCAAUUCUUCUCUUAUGUUUAUUUUUUUGGUCAAACUUGAUUUGAUAAAAGGGGAGGGUUUUUGAAGGGAUCCAACCCAUUUUCCAUCUAACGGACUUUCUUGCCAAGUCAAAGUGCCAUAUGACGAUCCAGUCAUGCCUUAUCAGGUCGUAAGACUCUAAAUGCAUAGACUGAUCCAGACGAAUCAAUGGAAAGUACCGAUUAUCUGAUCCAAGUCAAAGCAGUGCAGAUGAUUUGAAGUAGAUGAGACAAUCUCCUAGCAUUCAUACUAUGAUUUUAUAAUUAGAUUACAGUCACACACUUACCUAUGUCUUAGAGUCGGUUUGGUUCAGUCUUUUUGACAUUUCUUGCGCACUUUUUCUCAUAUCACUUGAACGCUUCAGCAGGCGAAAUCACCCAACAGUUUUUGAUUUUCUCUCUUUGAUCAAAUGGUUUAUUUCUCUGAGUUUCUCUUUGGUUUUACUUUGAGUUUUCUGUGACUAAAAUGAAGAAGUG